This 445-nucleotide ribosomal RNA is filed under the name uncultured bacterium. RNAcentral describes it as "partial 16S ribosomal RNA". It matches the Rfam family "Bacterial small subunit ribosomal RNA", at positions 330 to 792 of the family's 1533-position model. The record is from RNAcentral.
CCCAGACUCCUACGGGAGGCAGCAGUGGGGGAUAUUGCACAAUGGGGGGAACCCUGAUGCAGCGACGCCGCGUGGGUGAAGGAGCGUUUCGGCGCGUAAAGCCCUAUCGGCAGGGAAGAAGGAGGACGGUACCUGACUAAGAAGCCCCGGCUAACUCCGUGCCAGCAGCCGCGGUAAUACGGAGGAUGCGAGCGUUAUCCGGAUUUAUUGGGUUUAAAGGGUGCGCAGGCGGCGUGUCAAGUCAGCGGUAAAAUGUCGGGGCUCAACCCCGGCCGGCCGUUGAAACUGUCGGACUAGAGACGGCGAGAAGUACGCGGAAUGCGCGGUGUAGCGGUGAAAUGCAUAGAUAUCGCGCAGAACUCCGAUUGCGAAGGCAGCGUACCGGCGCCGGACUGACGCUGAGGCACGAAAGCGUGGGUAUCGAACAGGAUUAGAUACCCCAGUA